GCCCGGGUAGCUCAGUGGCAGAGCAGCGCACUCGUAAUGCGCAGGUCGUGGGUUCAAAUCCCACCUCGGGCU
This 72-nucleotide transfer RNA is filed under the name Actinomycetota bacterium. RNAcentral's name for it is "tRNA-Thr". It matches the Rfam family "tRNA". From Rfam's summary of the family: Transfer RNA (tRNA) molecules are approximately 80 nucleotides in length. Their secondary structure includes four short double-helical elements and three loops (D, anti-codon, and T loops). The record is from RNAcentral. Lineage: Bacteria; Bacillati; Actinomycetota.